RNAcentral lists this ribosomal RNA (112 nucleotides) under Nannospalax galili (Upper Galilee mountains blind mole rat). The record is from RNAcentral. Lineage: Eukaryota; Metazoa; Chordata; Mammalia; Rodentia; Spalacidae.
GUCUACAGUCACACCACCCUGAAGUCUGAGCUCAUCUGAUCUUGGAAGCUAAGAGGGUCAGGCCUGGUUAGUACUUGGAUGGGGGACAUUACAAAGAAGAAAACUAUAUGUC